AUUGCGUUCUCGGACUUUUGGCUAAGAUCAAGUGUAGUAUCUGUUCUUAUCAGUUUCAUGCCGGUGGCAGGUGACGCCGCUAUGGAGGUGGUAGGGAUGAGUACUGCCUGGUAGGGGGCAGGUGCACCAGGGCAUUCCAGGGCUGGUUCUAAGAAAUCAGCUCGACGGCUGCCCCAAUGUGACCUGUU
This is a small nuclear RNA of Hyla sarda, 188 nucleotides long. RefSeq annotates it as U2 spliceosomal RNA. Lineage: Eukaryota; Metazoa; Chordata; Amphibia; Anura; Hylidae. The transcript has a single exon. The record is from RefSeq and is a predicted model, not a curated record.